Molecule: long non-coding RNA, 444 nt
Organism: Gordionus sp. m RMFG-2023
Lineage: Eukaryota; Metazoa; Nematomorpha; Gordioida; Chordodea; Parachordodidae
Exons: 3
Source: RefSeq, a predicted model, not a curated record
UAGUUUUCUUUUAAAACAUAUUUGUACAAUAAAAAUGAUUAUAGCGUAAUCGGUCCAAUAGUAAUCCUUACCAAGCUCAGCAUUCAUACACUUACCAUUCAUUCACCACAUAUCAAAGCAAUGGUAUCCAGCAACCAAAUUCUUCAACAAAACCCAACUACCAAUAUAAGAAAAAACAAACCAAGUUAAAAAGCAGAAUAAGCAAAAUGCAUUGUUACCAUCAUUCCAGAGGUAUGUGAUGCUAUAUGGAAAACUUUAAAAUAUAUUCAUAUGCCAGUUCUAACUAGAGAACAUUGGGAGGAUAUAUUAAUAUAUUUUUAGAUUGCACAAAAAUAUUUUGACCUGGCUAAUUAGAUGGUAAGCACUUUAUAUCAAAAGUUAGAAAAACCAAUAUCAAACACCUUAAAAAACUAUGAAACCUUAUCCUAUGAAAAAUACCAGUCC